Molecule: ribosomal RNA, 466 nt
Filed under: uncultured bacterium
Lineage: Bacteria
Description: partial 16S ribosomal RNA
Rfam family: Bacterial small subunit ribosomal RNA
Source: RNAcentral
GAUGAACGCUGGCGGCGUGCUUAACACAUGCAAGUCGAACGAUGAAGCCCAGCUUGCUGGGUGGAUUAGUGGCGAACGGGUGAGUAACACGUGAGUAACCUGCCCUUAACUCUGGGAUAAGCCUGGGAAACUGGGUCUAAUACCGGAUAGGAGCGUCCACCGCAUGGUGGGUGUUGGAAAGAUUUAUCGGUUUUGGAUGGACUCGCGGCCUAUCAGCUUGUUGGUGAGGUAAUGGCUCACCAGGGCGACGACGGGUAGCCGGCCUGCGAGGGUGACCGGCCACACCGGGACUAAGACACGGCCCAGACUCCUGCGGGAGGCAGCAGUGGGGAAUAUUGCACAAUGGGCGCAAGCCUGAUGCAGCGACGCCGCGUGAGGGAUAACGGCCUUCGGGUUGUAAACCUCUUUCAGUAGGGAAGAAGCGAAAGUGACGGUACCUGCAGAAGAAGCACCGGCUAACUACGUG